UUAUCAAAAACAUGUCUUAAUGUUAUAUUUUUAUAUUAAGUCUAGCCUGCUCAAUGAUUUAUAUAAUUAAAUAGCCGCGGUAUCUUGACUGUGCGAAGGUAGCAUAAUCAUUUGUCUUUUAAUUGAAGGCUUGUAUGAAUGGUUGGAUGAGGGAAUUACUUUCUUUAUAUUAAGUGUUGAAUUUAAUGUUUUGGUCAAAAAGCUAAAAUUUUUAAAUGGGACGAGAAGACCCUAUAGA
Molecule: ribosomal RNA, 238 nt
Filed under: Podopinae sp. 1 WCW-2007
Lineage: Eukaryota; Metazoa; Arthropoda; Insecta; Hemiptera; Pentatomidae
Description: partial 16S ribosomal RNA
Rfam family: Archaeal large subunit ribosomal RNA
Source: RNAcentral